CUACGGGGGGCUGCAGUGGGGAAUAUUGCACAAUGGAGGAAACUCUGAUGCAGCAACGCCGCGUGGGGGAUGACGCAUUUCGGUGUGUAAACUCCUUUUAUAUGGGAAGAUAAUGACGGUACCAUAUGAAUAAGCACCGGCUAACUCCGUGCCAGCAGCCGCGGUAAUACGGAGGGUGCAAGCGUUACUCGGAAUCACUGGGCGUAAAGCGCGCGCAGGCGGCUAGAUAAGUUAGAAGUGAAAUCCUAUGGCUCAACCAUAGAACUGCUUCCAAAACUGUUUAGCUAGAGUCUGGGAGGGGAAGAUGGAAUUAGUAGUGUAGGGGUAAAAUCCGUAGAGAUUACUAGGAAUACCAAAAGCGAAGGCGAUCUUCUGGAACAGUACUGACGCUGAGGCGCGAAAGCGUGGGGAGCAAACAGGAUUAGAUACCCCGGUAGUC
This 439-nucleotide ribosomal RNA is filed under the name uncultured bacterium. Its description in RNAcentral is "partial 16S ribosomal RNA". It matches the Rfam family "Bacterial small subunit ribosomal RNA", at positions 339 to 795 of the family's 1533-position model. The record is from RNAcentral.